RNAcentral lists this transfer RNA (64 nucleotides) under Cavia porcellus (domestic guinea pig). It matches the Rfam family "tRNA". Rfam says of the family: Transfer RNA (tRNA) molecules are approximately 80 nucleotides in length. The record is from Rfam by way of RNAcentral. Lineage: Eukaryota; Metazoa; Chordata; Mammalia; Rodentia; Caviidae.
GGGGAUUUAGCUUAGUGGUAUGAGUGCCUGCCUAGCAAGCAUGAGGUUGCGAGUCCAAUCCCUG